Molecule: long non-coding RNA, 989 nt
Organism: Heteronotia binoei (common prickly gecko)
Lineage: Eukaryota; Metazoa; Chordata; Lepidosauria; Squamata; Gekkonidae
Exons: 2
Source: RefSeq, a predicted model, not a curated record
UGGACACGUGAGACGUUUCGUGGCAUGGAGAUAAAUAACAUCACUGGACAUUUGCUACAGAUUAAACUGAUACUAAAAGGACAGCUGGGAGACCGCUUUAAAAAGUUGGAAACCCUGUUUUUAGGGCCACUUUAUACCCUAUCCAGUUGUAAAGAUACGCCAAAGCCCUAGCUACCUGCUGUUCGGCAGUUUCACAUGUGAAAAUAAAACUUCCAACACAACAGAUCUGUACCUUCUUCCAUCUGCCUUAGCAACGUCAGCUCAAGUUUAUUCUUUCAGUAAGCUGAAUAAGGACGUGGUGAGCUGUGAUCUCUAGACAAUUCAACAUGUGUCAAGAUCCACGAUUCAUCAAAAUCUACUGGAUUAAUCAAGUUGGGAAGACUGUAGCAUGUGUGAAAACUAUAGUUUUCUGGUAUUCAAAUGCCACGAAUAGGCUCCAGAUGGUGGUUUUAGGCUGUCUAGAUAUCUAAAUAUAGCUAAACAAUUAAAACGAAAGCUGAUUAGCAAACAGACUACUGAAACAAAGUAUAUAUUGGAUAGAGAAGCCUUCCUGAAAAUGACUGGGAAUUAUUAUUUUUGACAAUGCUUGGUUCACAUACAAAGUUGACUAGCUUGUACCAUAUCUAAUGUUGGUUCAGCAAAAGACCCCUGCAGGCACCCGUAGGAUUAGGUUUCUAGCCAGGCCGCUCAGUUAAGGUCAUCUGACUCACAGUGUGUUUUUGAACUGAUGCUGAACAAAGUCGCCCAUCCCAAAUUUAAGUGAUAGUAUUAGAAAAAGGAAAGUACAUUGGGUUGUUAAAGCACCUCGGGGAGAAAUGAUGAGUUAUUUAAAAAAUUCCCAGGAUUUAUAAAAUGGUGACGAAAUUAACCUCUUCAAACGAUUCUCAGGAAAACUAAUGAUCAAGACAAAUGGCUUGAAAAUUUGGAGCUGUUUUUCAUUACCAUAUUUCUUUUAUAUUAACCAGAUAUAAAAAUGCAUGUAAAUACUC